Molecule: long non-coding RNA, 660 nt
Filed under: Homo sapiens (human)
Lineage: Eukaryota; Metazoa; Chordata; Mammalia; Primates; Hominidae
Description: HSALNT0060483
Source: RNAcentral
CGCGCGCACGCCGCAGGGGCGGGGAUGGGCCCUGGAAGGCGUGGCCCCUCCCCUAGCCCGCCUUCCCACGCGGUCUCUGGGCUGGUUGAGCUGCGCCGCUGCAGGUAGUGCUGAGUUGCUCCAGGUAAGCUCCUCCUCUCAAAAAGCUCUAGGAACCGAGCCACCCUCGCCCUAGGAGCAACGCCCCUGAGUAAUAUGGGGUUUCGUCGGAUUUCUGCCCGCCGCUCUGGAUCACACGUUUGUUCUCCCUAUUUGAGUCGCAAGGCCUUCCUUCAUUCCACCUAGCAGGCUGCUUGGAAAAGGGCAGAGACUCAUUACUUUGCACCAGUGCCACUGGGUUAGGGUCUCCACAACCGAGCUGGUCUCAGCAAGUGGUGUCCAUACAUGGGGCUCGAACCUGGGUUGAAGGGUCGCCAGAGCGACGGUUGGAGAACGUGGAACUAAGCUGGAGGACACCUGAGUACUCUUAAGCAAUCCCCGUGAUUGGAGAGGAUGAAGGCCCUGAGGUCCAAGAACAUGGAAACCUGACAGUGGACGCCAACAGCUGUGGAGAGAAGCCGGGCGACAGCUGUGGAGAGAAGCCGGGCGAUAUGCUCACGCUUCCGUGUGCCCAGCAAUCCUGCUUUAUCUUUUUAAAUAAAGGUGAUUCCUGAUAACACU